GGGAGUAGAUGUCUGUCUGGUGAGGGCCCCGGACUUCAAAUCCGGUGGCGGGCGCAGCCCGUCCGUGGUGGGUUCGAUUCCCACCUACUCCCGCCA
RNAcentral lists this transfer RNA (96 nucleotides) under Dethiobacter sp. RNAcentral's name for it is "tRNA-Sec". It matches the Rfam family "Selenocysteine transfer RNA". Lineage: Bacteria; Bacillati; Bacillota; Dethiobacteria; Dethiobacterales; Dethiobacteraceae. The record is from RNAcentral.